AAAAGCUUCAAUGAAGAGACUCGUUUGUGUACUGAAGGAAUCCGCCACACAAACAUAAGGUUUAAAAAGUUUGCUCUUAAAUCACAGAUGUAACCUCAACAGCAUACGUACGAAGCCUACGAGAGGCUUACAGACGGAGUGUGUCUGUGUUACAGGCGUGUGGGUCCCGAGAGACGUCAAAGAUGCAAAUACACAACUAGGAGCCCAUCUUCACCAAGGCAUUGUCUUCAUUCCACUGUAAAGAGGAGUUCAUGGCUGCUUGCUGUGUCAUGGCAUUUCAACACCAUCAGAAAAUCAUUACAGAUCCAGGAGGAACAAAGAUAGACAUGUCAGAUAGAUGAUGAAAGGAACAGAUGGUGUGUAGUGGAUCUGAUGUCCGCUCCAGUGAGCCUGCUGUCAUAUCGCUUGCACCUUCUCAUAUCCGAUGGUAUUCGGACGUGUCGCCUGCACACCGGACCACGAUCACUGCCAGAGGAGUGACACGGUGCAAAGUGCAUCCCAUCAGAAAUGUAUAAAAUAACACUAUACGCUGCUGAGUUUAAUCUUUUGGUGGGUAAGAUGGAUUCCUCUGAAUUAGCUUGAUGCUUGUUGCAUCAGUGGUGUGUAAAA
Molecule: long non-coding RNA, 609 nt
Organism: Carassius auratus (goldfish)
Lineage: Eukaryota; Metazoa; Chordata; Actinopteri; Cypriniformes; Cyprinidae
Exons: 3
Source: RefSeq, a predicted model, not a curated record